UCCAGCUCCAAUAGCGUAUACUAAUGCUGUUGCUGUUAAAAAGCUCGUAGUUCGACAAGGAUUGAGGCUGGUGCUGCGGUCAGUGGGCGUAACUUGUUACCUCAUUCACUAAGCGCCAUAUGGCCUCGAUUCUGAAAUGAAGGUGAAACCCGGAUGAAGCGCUCUCACUGAGCGUGGAGUCGACUUCGCACUCAACAUGUGCACAAGGGUUUGCCUUUGUGAUACCGUGAACAAAACAGCGUGCUCAAAGCAAGUGAUACUGCUCGAAUGUUCAAGCAUGGAAUAUCAAGGAAGCGACCUUUAUGCUAAUAUUUGCUGGUUUCUGUAGUUGAUUUGGGGAAUUGGACUUGAGAUUAUCGAAGGGUUUCAGUUCCUUCGGGUUCUGUUACCUUCUCGAAGCUCUGGUUUAACGGUAUUAACAGGGGUGACGGAGCUGUACGUAUUGGCACGCGAGAGGUGAAAUUCUUAGACCGUGUCAAGACGAACCUAAGCGAAGGCAUUCAGCAAGUAUACCUUCACUAAUCAAGAACGAGAGUGCAUGGAUUGAAGAUGAUCAGAUACCGUCGUAGUCUGCUACUGUAAACGAUGCGAACUCGGGAUCAGCUAUUGCUUAUCAUCUGAUUACUAGGCUGGGACCAUUCUACCUUCCUAGCGCGAAGGCUUUAAGUUUAAGCGUUCAGGGGGGAGUACAGUUGCAAGGCUGAAACUUAAAGGAAUUGACGGAAUGACACCGCAAGGCGUGGAUGCUGCGGCUUAAUUUGACUCAACACGGGGAAUCUCACCAGGUCAGGACGCAUGUUGGAUUGACAGAUUGAAAGCUCUUUCUUGAUUAUGUGUAUGGUGGUGCAUGGCCGCUCCUGGUUGGUGGAGUGAUUUGUCUGGUUGAUUCCGUUAACGAACGAGAUCUUGACUAUUUAAUGACAGCUGGAUCGACAUGUAGUUCAAUGCUCUUGCGCUUGCGUACUGAUGUUGGAUGAGAUCCUGUCUUGUACUUAAUAGGACGUCGCAUGUUUACAAUGCGAGGAAGUGCGAGCCAAUAGC
Molecule: ribosomal RNA, 1041 nt
Filed under: uncultured eukaryote
Lineage: Eukaryota
Description: partial 18S ribosomal RNA
Rfam family: Eukaryotic small subunit ribosomal RNA
Source: RNAcentral